AAGAUUUUAAGUUAAAAAAACUAUUAGCCUUCAAAGCUGGAAAUAAAAUAAAAAAAUUUUUAAAUCUUA
RNAcentral lists this transfer RNA (69 nucleotides) under Phaneroptera gracilis (slender bush katydid). Its description in RNAcentral is "tRNA-Trp". RNAcentral also lists the same sequence under 1 other name. Lineage: Eukaryota; Metazoa; Arthropoda; Insecta; Orthoptera; Tettigoniidae. The record is from RNAcentral.